Molecule: long non-coding RNA, 745 nt
Filed under: Ananas comosus (pineapple)
Lineage: Eukaryota; Viridiplantae; Streptophyta; Magnoliopsida; Poales; Bromeliaceae
Description: long non-coding RNA (ACOM_LNC004344)
Source: RNAcentral
UAAAAAAUGGUAAAUCGUUUAUCAUUUUUAUAAAAAUAAUGAUAAUUCGUCAUCUCUGAAAAUUUUAUUUACAUAAAUUGUUAUGCCAUAGAAUAUAAGAGAGAAAUAGUAAAUUAUUCACUAUUUUAAAAAAAAUUAAAAUACGAUAAAUAAUUCACCGUCUUUCUAUUUUUUACAUUCAAUUGGCAUAAAAAUAUGAUUAUUUAGUCAGAUAAAUUUUUGAUAAAAUUGUUUGACCAAACAUAAAUUUUUUAAGAUCACUUUAAAAUAGGCCCAAAAAUUAACAAAAAAAAAUUAUAAAUUAACGAGUCCGGCCAUAGUGCUUUUAAAAGUAUUAAGCAUUCGGCACUUAUAAAAUUUUCAUUAUUAAAUCUAUUAUAUUAAUUAAUUUUAUUAUUUAGAUCAUACUAUUUUACCAAUCACCCAUUCAGUCGUAGAAGAUCAACUAUUAUCUUAACUAUCUAAAACUUCAUCCAACAUCUAAAAAUUUAUUAUAACUAUCUAAAUCUUCAUCCAACAUCUAAAAAUUUAUUAUAAGCACUAAUAACUUAGUGCUUUUAAAAAUAUUGAAGCACAAUUCUAAGUUAUUCUUUUUUUUUCUUUUUUUUUUUUGAGAAAUAAGUAACACGCUGCCCACUUCGUUUGUUUUAUUUAGAAAUAAACUUAGCUGAAAAUGUGAAUCAACUAGAAUUCGAACUAGAGACUUCGGGUAUCAACUACCAAAUUCUUUGUCACUUACUUAAGG